AUGGUAAUAGUAUUUUUGUUAUUAGUUGAUAAUAUACAAAUUAAUAUAUCUAAUUUAUUGGAUAUAGAUAACAAUGGUAUAGAUUUUAUUGUACAGAAAUAUAACUUAAAUGUGAAUGAGAAAGUGAAAAGAAAAUAUAUGACAUUGUAUCAGUUUUGCUUUGAUGCUUCUUUUAUUAUAAUUAAUCCUCUUGUUAUAUUUAUUAUGUAUUUGUUUAGUAAUUUAUUUGAUGAAUCGUACUCAACAAGUUUAUUUAUAUAUUUGUGUAGCCUUUUUAUCUCUGUUUUGACCAUUAUCUCAAUAGUUUCUUAUACCUUAGGAUUUGAACAAGCGGAUGAAUUAAAAAAAAAAAAAAAUUAUUUAGAUACGAAUAUGAACAAAAAUGCAAUCAGUAGUACUAUAGCUGCUAGUACUGUUAUGGAUAGUUUUGUUAAUACUAACCCUAAUAGUGGCACAAACAUAAAUUCAACAAAUAUUUCUGUAACAAAUACAUUAGACAAAAUGGUUAGUGGAAAAACACAUUACAGUGAGUACAAAAACGAUGAUGAUUUUGAUGAACAUGAUGAUAACAAUAAUAAUAAUAUUAACAAACAUAUUGAAACUUCAAAUAACUUAAACAGUAAUGAUAGUAGUGAAUGUGAUAAAGUGGAAGACCCGAAUAAAAAAAACCAUGGUGUUGUACAUAAUGAUUAUUACUCAAAUAUAUAUGGUAGUAAAACUAAAAGGCAAUUGAAUAAAGUGUCGAUAUGUCAUGAAAAUAAUUCUAGCAAUAUUAUCAAUAAUGGUAUUAAUGCUACUAACAUAAAUAGCGAAAUAGUAACAUUACAAGACUAUUAUAAGAAACAAUUUUAUGAACUCACAAAUAAUGUUAUACGAAUAAAAAAUAAAAAUAAAUUACUAUUUUAUAUAUUAACUUUAUCAUUUUUAAACAGUAUAGAGGAGGUUUUGAUUCUUAUGCUUAUUCCUUUUACGUCUAUAUAUGUAUGUGAAUUUUUUAACAUCAAUAAUGUCUUUGUCCAAGCGUUUAUUGCCGUUAUGUUCAUAUCGCUGACUAAGUGUUUUGAAAAUAUAGCUUACUACUCAAACAAGAAGAACAUAAUAGCCCUGAAGGAUAUAUUCAUGUAA
Molecule: long non-coding RNA, 1125 nt
Filed under: Piliocolobus tephrosceles (Ugandan red Colobus)
Lineage: Eukaryota; Metazoa; Chordata; Mammalia; Primates; Cercopithecidae
Description: lncRNA (ENSPTEG00000010845.1)
Source: RNAcentral